Molecule: long non-coding RNA, 573 nt
Filed under: Homo sapiens (human)
Lineage: Eukaryota; Metazoa; Chordata; Mammalia; Primates; Hominidae
Description: HSALNT0068889
Source: RNAcentral
GUGCGCGCGAGCGGCCAGCAGAGGGCGCCAGAGAGCCAGGAGCGGCCUGCGGAGGAGCCCGCGCCGGCACCGAUUCCCAGCUCCGCGCCACGCGGACCCACCGAGCUCGCGCUCAGACGCCCCAGCUCCGCCGAGAGGCCGCUCGCGCCGGGUCCUUCCUCUUCCCCAAGUGCAGGCCGAGCCUCCGCAGCCACGGCCAGCCCUUCGGGCAGCUCCAAAGCCACUGGCAAGCCCCGAGGCAGGGAUGGCCGGCCCAGGAGGGAGGAGGACGACGUCCCUCCCUAGGAGAAGAACUGCGGCUGUUGCUGGAGGGGGGAAGCGCACAGCCCGACGACUGCGAGGACGGGGAGGACGCGCUGAGGUCAGGCAGGGAGGAGACCGGCACCCAGACAGGUGGCGACGGCAGAGGAGGUAUCUCAAACUCCUGCCCUUAAAACACCUGCAAGAGAAUCAUCCAGGCGGCUUGCUCACUCUGCAUGCAGACCCUUUAGAAUCAGAGUCAGAAUCACUGGGGCUGGAGCCACAAAAUGAAAUGACAUUUCAACAAGUUUGUCAUCACGUAAGAGAGAAUAG